Molecule: long non-coding RNA, 395 nt
Organism: Arvicanthis niloticus (Nile rat)
Lineage: Eukaryota; Metazoa; Chordata; Mammalia; Rodentia; Muridae
Source: RefSeq, a predicted model, not a curated record
CCCACCCUACUAACUUCCUUGCCUGCCUGCAUUUUUCUGCCUCUAUGCCCAGUCUCUGCACUCCCUCUCAGGCUGGGCCUUGGCCCUGAAGCAUUGUCUCCUCUCUCCCUAGGACCUGGCCAACCUGGCACCUCGGAAACCUGACUGGGAUCUGAAGAGAGAUGUGGCCAAGAAGCUGGAGAAACAGACCCAGAGAGCCAUUGUAGAGCUGAUCCGUGAACGGCUGAAAGGUCAGGUGGACAGCCUGGCCUCUGCAGUGGCUGCCAACAUUGAAACAGAGGCCUGUGACUCCGACUGACAUGUUUUCCUGGUUUAAUUUCUUGAGCACACACAUCUCCUGUCAUGUAAAUGGUGCUUUUUAACUUCUGUAAAUAAACUUUUAUUUAGUAGAGGCA